UACGGAGGGGGCAAGCGUUGUUCGGAAUCACUGGGUGUAAAGGGUGCGUAGGCGGUCCGCUAAGUCUGAUGUGAAAGCCCUGGGCUUAACUCAGGAAUUGCAUUGGAAACUGACGGGCUGGAGUACUGGAGAGGGAAGCGGAAUUCCUGGUGUAGCGGUGAAAUGCGUAGAUACCAGGAGGAACACCGGUGGCGAAGGCGGCUUCCUGGCCAAGUACUGACGCUGAGGCACGAAAGCGUGGGGAGCGAACGGG
Molecule: ribosomal RNA, 253 nt
Filed under: uncultured bacterium
Lineage: Bacteria
Description: partial 16S ribosomal RNA
Rfam family: Bacterial small subunit ribosomal RNA
Source: RNAcentral